AUUGAGACUUCGGUGGAUUUGAUCUAUUUCUAGUGGCGGACGGGUGAGUAACGCGUGGGUAACCUGCCUUAUACAGGGGGAUAACAGUCAGAAAUGGCUGCUAAUACCGCAUAAGCGCACAGAGCUGCAUGGCUCAGUGUGAAAAACUCCGGUGGUAUAAGAUGGACCCGCGUUGGAUUAGCUUGUUGGUGGGGUAACGGCCCACCAAGGCGACGAUCCAUAGCCGGCCUGAGAGGGUGAACGGCCACAUUGGGACUGAGACACGGCCCAGACUCCUACGGGAGGCAGCAGUGGGGAAUAUUGCACAAUGGGGGAAACCCUGAUGCAGCGACGCCGCGUGAAGGAAGAAGUAUCUCGGUAUGUAAACUUCUAUCAGCAGGGAAGAUAGUGACGGUACCUGACUAAGAAGCCCCGGCUAACUACGUGCCAGCAGCCGCGGUAAUACGUAGGGGGCAAGCGUUAUCCGGAUUUACUGGGUGUAAAGGGAGCGUAGACGGUGUGGCAAGUCUGAUGUGAAAGGCAUGGGCUCAACCUGUGGACUGCAUUGGAAACUGUCAUACUUGAGUGCCGGAGGGGUAAGCGGAAUUCCUAGUGUAGCGGUGAAAUGCGUAGAUAUUAGGAGGAACACCAGU
Molecule: ribosomal RNA, 632 nt
Filed under: uncultured Lachnospiraceae bacterium
Lineage: Bacteria; Bacillati; Bacillota; Clostridia; Lachnospirales; Lachnospiraceae
Description: bacterial SSU rRNA
Rfam family: Bacterial small subunit ribosomal RNA
Source: RNAcentral